GACGAACGCUGGCGGCGUGCUUAACACAUGCAAGUCGAACGGAAAGGCCCUGCUUUUGUGGGGUGCUCGAGUGGCGAACGGGUGAGUAACACGUGAGUAACCUGCCCUUGACUUUGGGAUAACUUUAGGAAACUGGGGCUAAUACCGGAUAGGAGCUUCUGCUGCAUGGUGGGGGUUGGAAAGUUUCGGCGGUGGGGGAUGGACUCGCGGCUUAUCAGCUUGUUGGUGGGGUAGUGGCUUACCAAGGCUUUGACGGGUAGCCGGCCUGAGAGCGUGAACGGCCACAUUGGGACUGAGAUACGGACCAGUCUUCUACGGGAGGCAGUAGUGGGGAAUAUUACACAAUGGGCGGAAGCCUGAUGCAGAAACGCCGCGUGCGUGAAGACCGGCUUUGAGUGGUAAACCGCUUUCGCCUUUGAAGAAGCGUGAGUGACGGUAAUGGGUAAAGAAGCACCGGCUAACUACGUG
RNAcentral lists this ribosomal RNA (468 nucleotides) under uncultured bacterium. RNAcentral describes it as "partial 16S ribosomal RNA". It matches the Rfam family "Bacterial small subunit ribosomal RNA", at positions 28 to 507 of the family's 1533-position model. The record is from RNAcentral.